Molecule: ribosomal RNA, 461 nt
Filed under: uncultured bacterium
Lineage: Bacteria
Description: bacterial SSU rRNA
Rfam family: Bacterial small subunit ribosomal RNA
Source: RNAcentral
AACGAACGCUGGCGGCAGGCCUAACACAUGCAAGUCGAACGCGAACGCACCUUCGGGUGUUAUUAGAGUGGCAGACGGGUGAGUAACGCGUGGGUAUCUACCUAGUGGUAAGGAAUAACUCAGGGAAACCUGGGCUAAUACCUUAUAAGCCCUUCGGGGGAAAGAUUUAUCGCCAUUAGAUGAGCCCGCGUCGGAUUAGCUAGUUGGUGGGGUAAAAGCCUACCAAGGCGACGAUCCGUAGCUGGUCUGAGAGGAUGAUCAGCCACACUGGGACUGAGACACGGCCCAGACUCCUACGGGAGGCAGCAGUGGGGAAUAUUGGACAAUGGGCGCAAGCCUGAUCCAGCCAUGCCGCGUGAGUGAUGAAGGCCUUAGGGUUGUAAAACUCUUUCACCGGUGAAGAUAAUGACGGUAGCCGGAGAAGAAGCCCCGGCUAACUCCGUGCCAGCAGCCGCGGUAAU